RNAcentral lists this ribosomal RNA (345 nucleotides) under Triticum aestivum (bread wheat). RNAcentral's name for it is "partial small subunit ribosomal RNA". The record is from RNAcentral. Lineage: Eukaryota; Viridiplantae; Streptophyta; Magnoliopsida; Poales; Poaceae.
AUGAAGGAGAUUGUCAGAGCCUAUGGAGGCCGCUUUGCAGGAAAUCUCGCUCGAAUUGCUGAGAUGGAGGUGAAGUAUCGAUAUAACCAAGUUAUAGAAAUUGGCCUCCCACUGGGAGGGCUUGCAAAGUUGUUUGUUCAUGAUUGGGAGGGUGAUGUCACCAUGGUUAUGCUAGCAACAGUAGCUCAGUACUUGAAGAUUAUACAAAACCCGACAUAUCCAGAGCUCCAAAUGGCUGCCAACCAGGGUCGCAGGUGCACAUGGGAGAAGCUCUUUGCCAUCAGAGCAAACUGUGCAAUUGAACUUGCAUUGGAUGAACCCAUAGCAGCCCUCAACCACAAAUGA